This 768-nucleotide ribosomal RNA is filed under the name uncultured bacterium. RNAcentral's name for it is "bacterial SSU rRNA". It matches the Rfam family "Bacterial small subunit ribosomal RNA", at positions 8 to 796 of the family's 1533-position model. The record is from RNAcentral.
AGAGUUUGAUCCUGGCUCAGAAUCAACGCUGGCGGCGCGCUUAACACAUGCAAGUCGAGCGAGAAAAGGGGGCAACCCCCGAGUAAAGCGGCGUACGGGUGAGUAACACGUGGAUUAUCUACCUUUUAGUGGGGAAUAACUUUGGGAAACCGAAGCUAAUACCGCAUAAGCCUGUAAAGGGAAAGCCCUAUUGUAAAAGAUGGGGCGCUGGAAGAAGAGUCCGCGGCCGAUUAGCUAGUUGGUGAGGUAAUGGCUCACCAAGGCGACGAUCGGUAGCCGGCCUGAGAGGGCACACGGCCACACUGGCACUGAAACACGGGCCAGACUCCUACGGGAGGCAGCAGUGGGGAAUCUUGCACAAUGGACGAAAGUCUGAUGCAGCGACGCCGCGUGAGCGAUGAAGCCCUUCGGGGUGUAAAGCUCUUUCGGCAGGGACGAUAAUGACGGUACCUGAAGGAGAAGCUGCGGCUAACUACGUGCCAGCAGCCGCGGUAAUACGUAGGCAGCAAGCGUUGUUCGGAAUUACUGGGCGUAAAGAGUGUGUAGGCGGUGCUCUAAGUUUGGUGUGAAAUCUCCCGGCUUAACUGGGAGGGUGCGCCGAAAACUGGAAUGCUUGAACAUGGGAGAGGAAAGCGGAAUUCCUGGUGUAGCGGUGAAAUGCGUAGAUAUCAGGAGGAACACCUGCGGUGUAGACGGCUUUCUGGACCAUUGUUGACGCUGAGACACGAAAGCGUGGGUAGCAAACAGGAUUAGAUACCCUGGUAGUCC